Non-coding RNA from Homo sapiens (human), 117 nucleotides. It matches the Rfam family "Metazoan signal recognition particle RNA". Rfam says of the family: The signal recognition particle (SRP) is a universally conserved ribonucleoprotein. It is involved in the co-translational targeting of proteins to membranes. NCBI's taxonomy places the organism in Eukaryota, Metazoa, Chordata, Mammalia, Primates, Hominidae. The record is from Rfam.
GCUGGGCGUGGUGGCUCAUGCCUGUAAUCCUAGCACUUUGGGAGGCCGAGGCAGGUGGAUCACCUGAGGUCAGGAGUUCAAGACCAGCCUGGCCAACAUGGUGAGACCCUGUCUCUA